GACGAACGCUGGCGGCGUGCUUAACACAUGCAAGUCGAACGGAAACGCCCUGCUUUUGUGGGGUGCUCGAGUGGCGAACGGGUGAGUAACACGUGAGUAACCUGCCCUUGACUUUGGGAUAACUUCAGGAAACUGGGGCUAAUACCGGAUAGGAGCUCCUGCUGCAUGGUGGGGGUUGGAACGUUUCGGCGGUUGGGGAUGGACUCGCGGCUUAUCAGCUUGUUGGUGGGGUAGUGGCUUACCAAGGCUUUGACGGGUCGCCGGCCUGAGAGGGUGACCGGCCACAUUAGGACUGAGAUACGGCCCAGACUCCUACGGGAGGCAACAGUGGGGAGUAUUGCACAAUGGGCGGAAGCCUGAUGCAGCAACGCCGCGUGCGGGAUGACGGCCUGCGGGUUGUAAACCGCAUUCGCCUGUGACGAAGCGUGAGUGACGGUAAUGGGUAAAGAAGCACCGGCUAACUACGUG
RNAcentral lists this ribosomal RNA (468 nucleotides) under uncultured bacterium. RNAcentral describes it as "partial 16S ribosomal RNA". It matches the Rfam family "Bacterial small subunit ribosomal RNA", at positions 28 to 507 of the family's 1533-position model. The record is from RNAcentral.